GAUGAACGCUGGCGGCGUGCCUAAUACAUGCAAGUCGAGCGAACGGACGAGAAGCUUGCUUCUCUGAUGUUAGCGGCGGACGGGUGAGUAACACGUGGAUAACCUACCUAUAAGACUGGGAUAACUUCGGGAAACCGGAGCUAAUACCGGAUAAUAUUUUGAACCGCAUGAUUCAAAAGUGAAAGACGGUCUUGCUGUCACUUAUAGAUGGAUCCGCGCUGCAUUAGCUAGUUGGUAAGGUAACGGCUUACCAAGGCAACGAUGCAUAGCCGACCUGAGAGGGUGAUCGGCCACACUGGAACUGAGACACGGUCCAGACUCCUACGGGAGGCAGCAGUAGGGAAUCUUCCGCAAUGGGCGAAAGCCUGACGGAGCAACGCCGCGUGAGUGAUGAAGGUCUUCGGAUCGUAAAACUCUGUUAUUAGGGAAGAACAUAUGUGUAAGUAACUGUGCACACCUUGACGGUACCUAAUCAGAAAGCCACGGCUAACUACGUG
Molecule: ribosomal RNA, 497 nt
Filed under: uncultured bacterium
Lineage: Bacteria
Description: partial 16S ribosomal RNA
Rfam family: Bacterial small subunit ribosomal RNA
Source: RNAcentral